This is a long non-coding RNA of Haplochromis burtoni (Burton's mouthbrooder), 687 nucleotides long. RefSeq lists it as uncharacterized. The transcript has 3 exons. Lineage: Eukaryota; Metazoa; Chordata; Actinopteri; Cichliformes; Cichlidae. The record is from RefSeq and is a predicted model, not a curated record.
UUUGUCUGUUGUCAAGGUCUCACCUCAGUGCGAUUCCUCACGUUUUGUCAUGAUUAAAGGAUGAAUGUGAACACCGCUUCAGUCACUGUGUUCACUUCCUGAUAUGUCAGAACUGUGCUCACGUCACUCACUUUUUUUAACAACAUGACACACUGCUGUAAACAGAGACCCUGUAAUGUUAGCACCAAGUAGGACUUCAUAAAAAAUAAUGCUGUCAAGCUAACUUUUGCUCUUUCUGUCUUUUUCAGGACCUUGAGGCAGUGUGGGACAGCUCCCUGCACAACUCCCUCCUGCUCAACUGCGUCACUCCCUAUGGAGAGAAGAUCUACAUGACCUUAUCUGCGUAUCUGGAGUUGGACCAUUGCAUCCAGCCUGCCAUUAUCACCAAAGACCUCUGCACGGUCUUUUACUCCCGAGACGCCAAGAUUUCCCCACCCCGUUUUCUCAAGAACCUCUUUGGGACUGGAUAGUCCAAAACUCCUGACUGGUAAAUCUGGGCUGCUGUACUGUGGCCAUCUCUGUUUCACAAUCAAAGAUAUCUGCCCUGUUACAAAGUUUCCUUGUUCAUAACUUCUGCUUCAUUAUAGCAACCGAGUGACUGGGAUCUACGAGCUGAGCUUGUGUAAGACGUCUGACACUGGAAGCCCAGGGAUGCAGAGGAGGAGGAGGACGGUCCUGGACACAUCA